Molecule: long non-coding RNA, 836 nt
Organism: Nerophis ophidion (straightnose pipefish)
Lineage: Eukaryota; Metazoa; Chordata; Actinopteri; Syngnathiformes; Syngnathidae
Exons: 3
Source: RefSeq, a predicted model, not a curated record
AUGGCUGUGUCCCAAUUCAGGGUCUGCAUCCUUCGGAGGACCCGGCCUGCGUAGCAUCAGAAGGCUGGACCUUCGCAGGCACCUCCGAAGGAUGCAUCACCCGUUGUUAUAUGGGACAGUCUAGCCUGCGGAGGAUACUUACAUUUGAAGGUGUAUUCGCUGCCGCUGACAGUGCGGCUGCUUGUAUUUGCCGCCAUUGUCAAAAACAUCCGGGUUUAAGAAAGGCGCGUAAACCAUCUUGGGAUAUGGGAGACCACGAAGGAUUGUCGCGGUGCAUCCUCCGAAUACAGGGAAAAAAAGGGCGCAUUCGUCGGCUGCAAUUGGAGGAGCGAAUUGGGACAGCCUUCCUUCAGCGUUGUGAUGUAAGCGGCCUUUAAAUUCGCCCUUCGAAGGAUGCAGACCCUGAAUUGGACACAGCCAAUGUGCUACAAAUAUUUCCCUCUGAAGGUUUGCAUCAUCGUUGUUGAGCUUUGAAGAAGUUUUGUUUGUAAGACUAUCCAAUUGUCGAAGUUGCCCUCUAGUGGGUUAUUCAGACCACCACACACUGCCAAGAGAGCCCGGGAUUCUGGUAGCACAUCCAACUCCAACUACUCGUCUUAUCACGGCUGCUGCUAAUAAAGGCGACAGUUUCACAAUACGAGUCUUCUGGCGUGUAAACUUUGUGACCAAGACCAACAGUACACAGUCUUCUAAAAUACUUCGUCUACGUCUACGUCAUCAAAGACUAAUGUUUACCUAUCCGUCACUUUGUGCAUGGAGUGCAGGUCUUCUUGUGAAUUUAGUUUAUGAGAUGCUCAGCAAUAAUAAUUAAUAAAAGUGCUUUCAAGACAACUUCA